RNAcentral lists this ribosomal RNA (253 nucleotides) under uncultured prokaryote. RNAcentral describes it as "partial 16S ribosomal RNA". It matches the Rfam family "Bacterial small subunit ribosomal RNA", at positions 524 to 776 of the family's 1533-position model. The record is from RNAcentral.
UACAGAGGGGGCGAGCGUUGUUCGGAAUUACUGGGCGUAAAGGGCGCGUAGGCGGCCUGCUAAGUCAUACGUGAAAUCCCUCGGCUUAACCGGGGAACUGCGUCCGAUACUGGAUGGCUUGAGUGUGGGAGAGGGAUGCGGAAUUCCAGGUGUAGCGGUGAAAUGCGUAGAUAUCUGGAGGAACACCGGUGGCGAAGGCGGCAUCCUGGACCACGACUGACGCUGAUGAGCGAAAGCCAGGGGAGCAAACGGG